UCUACGGGAGGCAGCAGUGGGGAAUAUUGCACAAUGGGGGAAACUCUGAUGCAGCGACGCCGCGUGAGUGAAGAAGUAUUUCGGUAUGUAAAGCUCUAUCAGCAGGGAAGAAAUAGCGACCUUUGGGUCGCCAGACGGUACCUGACUAAGAAGCCCCGGCUAACUACGUGCCAGCAGCCGCGGUAAUACGUAGGGGGCAAGCGGUAUCCGGAUUUACUGGGUGUAAAGGGAGCGUAGGGGGCAGCACAAGUCUGAAGUGAAAUGCUGGGGCUAAACCCCGGAAUUGCUUUGGAAACUGUGCAUCUAGAGUGCAGGAGAGGUGAGUGGAAUUCCGAGUGUAGCGGUGAAAUGCGUAGAUAUUAGGAGGAACACCAGUGGCGAAGGCGGCUUACUGGACUGUAACUGACGUUGAGGCUCGAAAGCGUGGGUAGCAAACAGGAUUAGAUACCCUUGUAGUC
This 458-nucleotide ribosomal RNA is filed under the name uncultured bacterium. Its description in RNAcentral is "partial 16S ribosomal RNA". It matches the Rfam family "Bacterial small subunit ribosomal RNA", at positions 338 to 795 of the family's 1533-position model. The record is from RNAcentral.